Molecule: ribosomal RNA, 450 nt
Filed under: uncultured bacterium
Lineage: Bacteria
Description: partial 16S ribosomal RNA
Rfam family: Bacterial small subunit ribosomal RNA
Source: RNAcentral
CCUACGGGGGGCAGCAGUAAGGAAUAUUGGUCAAUGGACGGAAGUCUGAACCAGCCAUCCCGCGUGCAGGAAGAAGGUCCUAUGGAUUGUAAACUGCUUUUAGCAGAGACGAAACGCCUUCAUUUAUGGGGGUUUGACGGUAUCUGCGGAAUAAGCACCGGCUAACUCCGUGCCAGCCGCCGCGGUAAUACGGAGGGUGCAAGCGUUAUCCGGAAUCAAGGGGUCUUAGGGGUGCGUAGACGGGGGUGGUGAAAGCCUGUAGCUUAACUACAGAAUUGCCAUUGAUACUGAUUUUCUUGAAUUGGGUUGAGGUUAGCGGAAUGUGACAUGUAACGGUGAAAUGUUUAGAUAUGUCAUGGAACACCGAUUGCGAAGGCAGCUAGCUGGGCCUUGAUUGACGCUGAGGCACGAAAGCGUGGGGAGCGAACAGGAUUAGAUACCCUGGUAGUC